CUUUCUUAGUUGAAGACCCCUUCUUGAUAAUGGAUGUUUUAUAGUUAGAGACUCUGUCACUAGUGGGGUUUCACUCACCGUCCUGGUGCCCUAUCAGUAAUUACUUCUUCCCUGUGGGGCUGUUCAGCAGUGACCAUAUCAGUGUAUGCAUGAAAAUGUGCUAAACUGGGAGAAGAAAAGCUGCUCAUGGUUAGAUUUUUAUUGUUAAGACUGGAAGAGAACAGAAUGGGAAGGUGAUGACCUCGAAUUCUGCUCCUGGAUUUGCCACAGACUGUCGUUUGAUAUAUUGAGGCAAAUAAUCUCCUAAUGCUGAAAUAUAGAAGCAAGGUAUUUUCUACCUACUCAAGAUGUUUCAAAGUUAAUUCAUUAAUUCUUGUGAUGCUCUCCAUUUCAUGAGUGUUACAGAAAAUAACAAAGAUUUCAAUGACAAUAAAUAAUGGAUGU
Gallus gallus (chicken) is the source of this 444-nucleotide long non-coding RNA. The record is from Ensembl. Lineage: Eukaryota; Metazoa; Chordata; Aves; Galliformes; Phasianidae.